AACGCACAUUGCGCCCUUUGGUAUUCCGAAGGGCAUGCCUGUUCGAGCGUCAUUAUCACCCCUCGAGCCCUCUGGGUUUGAUGUUGGACGGCCUGGUCGGGGGCUUCACGCCUCCCCGACCCCUCCUAAAGACAAUGACGGCGGCCUCGUGGGACCCCCGGUACACUGAGCUUCUUAACUGAGCACGUAUCGGAUCAAGGGUGCCCGGGACACGGUCUCUCUUUCGUCUCCCCCUCCGCGGGAAGAUGGAAAAAACUCCUUUCUAAGGUUGACCUCGGAUCAGGUAGGAAUACCCGCUGAACUUAA
This 306-nucleotide ribosomal RNA is filed under the name uncultured fungus. RNAcentral's name for it is "eukaryotic LSU rRNA". The stretch from base 1 to 52 matches the Rfam family "5.8S ribosomal RNA", at positions 103 to 154 of the family's 154-position model. The record is from RNAcentral. Lineage: Eukaryota; Fungi.